GUUUGACUCAACGCGGAUUCCGUAGCUCAACUCCACCGCAGCAGGAAGUGAUAAAAUUCUCUCAGGGCCCGCCAAGAGUGAAAGUUUCUUCGUUUGCCACCAACUUUUCCAGGUUCCUAUAGGAGAAUCAUAGAAUCAUAGAGUUGGAAGAGACCUCGUGGGCCAUCCAGUCCAACACUCUGCCAAGAAACAGGACAAUCACAAAAAUUUUGUUUUUGAUAUGUUAUCUACGUUGUUUAUAUUCUCGACUAUAUUUUAUUAUUCUCAUGGAUGCACCAGAGUCUGCCUUGCCAGGAUCUUCUACUUCUGUUCUGACUGGCACAAAACCAGCAGCAGAUCAUCUCAGGGCAUCUGUUUUGGGCAGAAACGCCUUCUACCUUUCCAAAGCUCAAGUUAAAAUCAUCAAUUAAAAUAAUACAAAAAUAACAGCAAUCAUUACUAAUUAUGGCUGCCUGCAAUACACUGAAACAUGUUCUUGAAAUCCCAUGCUGGCAAGGCACAGAUUACCUUCCUGAAAUAGAACAUCUCUGCCCAGUCAACAAGUUGGGGAUAUUGUUAGCUACUUCUGUAAUCAAACACUAUUUCUAAAUUGUUUUAUGUGUACCAUACUGAAGGAUGACUGUGCUGCUAUAAAUUGUGGGACCUCAUGAAGCAAACUUUAAUCCUCACAUACACCAAGUAAAAAGAGCAUAUAUUCAGUGAAUGUCAGGGUAUUUUCGGACCCAACAUAUUCCAAAAUGUCCUGAACCAAAUACCUUUGGCCUAAAGGUACCAAUUGCUUUCUAAUCUUGGAAGCUAAGCAGGGUCGGCCCUAGUUAGUAUUUGGAUGAAAGACCACUAAUGAAUAUAAGGUGCUAUAAGCUAUAUUUCAGAGGAAGGAAUUGUCAAACCACCUCUGAGUAUCCCUUGCUUAAGAAAACCCUAUAGAAUUCCUGGACUCACCAAAGGUUUCCUUGAAGAUGUACAAACAUAUUACAAAAUGUUAAAAUUCCCCAUCUCUCCAAAUAUAUGUGUUUUUUUGUUAUUGGUGUGGGAUGAACAAUAUUACUUUAAAUCUAUACAAGUGGAAAGAAAAUCACCAAAUUGCUAAGAUACAGUUUCAAAGUAUUUUGGAUUUGCAGGGCUAAAGCAUUCACAGUGAGUGAAUUCUGACUGCAUGGUGAAUAACAAUGUAUUGCAGAAUAUUAAAAAAGCUAUUGUUAUUCCUCAGUCCUCAGAUGCUGAGUACUAGAAAAUAAAGAUCCAAAUGAGAUGGAAUGUUUAUUACUUUUUGCAAUACCAUUUUGGUAGCACUCAAAAAUAUAACUGUUGCUUCUGAUCCAAAACAAUGAAACAUUCCCCAAAACAAGAAAACAACCUUGAAUGAAAUCAGCUGUUUUUCUGUUUUUUGGGUUUUUUUUAAGAAGCUCUUAUGUGAAUGGGCCAAUUUUCUACCCUGGUAACCAAAUAGUUUCCGAUGAGGAAAAUGUAACCCUGUGAAAGGCUAUGCUUUGUGCCAGCUACCACAGGAUGUCACUUUGAUGCUAAAGUGCUUUCUUCAAUCAAAUGUCCCUCAAACUGUGCACUGCCUGCUGGUUUUCUAAUCCAUUGCCCCAUUGAAGAAAUAACAGCAGUGACUUCUUGUUGUACAUGUUUAUUCAGCUGAAGGGUGACACUAGGGUGCAGUCCUAGAUGAAUUGCAGCUUUUUGGUGGCUCAGGUAUGGCACAUUUUCUCCUCUGCAAGAGUCAUAGCUUUCCACUAACAGGAUGGCUGUGCAGCCGCAAAAUGAUGUCUUUCUAAGGCUCUGUGAAUUUCAAUCUCCACUCAAUGGAAGAAAUGUUCUUUUCUCCUGAAUGGGAGCAGCCUAACAGUUUGUCACUUCUGCUUCUCUACAAUAAAUAAAUAAAUAAAUAAAAGUCCCACAAAAUGGCAUGCAAGAUUCUUUGUGUCAAUUCAAAACAGAGGCAAUGGAAAAGUCAGAGUUGCCGGUGGCAAAAUGCAAUAGGUUUGUUGGGGCAAUGUGUGUCCCAGUCCCAGUCAGUUUAAACAAAAGCUGCAAAUAAACUAUGGGAUGUUGUGUUUUUGUUUUGAUAUUAAUUUUAUUGUAUUUUAAUAUGUGUGUAUUUUAAUACAUAUUUUAAAGAAAUGCGUUUUAAUAUAUAUCUUUUUAUAGAAAUACAUUUUAAUAUGUGCAUUUGUGGUAUUUUUAAUUAUUCUGUAACCUGCCUCAAACGACAAAAAGAGGCGGGUACGAAAUAGAAUUAUUAUUAUUAUUACUAUUAUUACUAUUAUUAUUGACAGUCAACAAUAGUACAAUAUCCCCAUUGCAACAAGUUACCUCCUUCAUUCUAAAUAAGCCCACACCUUCUCAUCUCUCCCCAUUUCAUAAUGAACUUCAAAAAUACAGUUUUGUCACACUUCUUACACCUGCAUUUUCAAUAUUUUCUAUUACAUAUUAUUAUAAUGGUAUUUAUCUAGACGUUGAUCCAAAAUUUAAUUUGAUCAUUCAGUGGUUUGGAUUUUCUACUGUUUGACACAUAUAACUAAUAAAUGGGAUAUUGCUUACAACUCUUCCUAUGGCAAUGUCAUAAAAUCCCUGUCUUGUUGGUCUAGUUAUACGUCAGUUCUGCAACAAAAUGUGACUCUGGGGGAUUAAAGGUCCUGUCUGAUUGGAUGAGUGUUAAAUGCUAAAUUGAUGGUUCUGGUUGCGUCAGCAUGGAACAGGCAAACCUUGAGAAGGGAAUAAUUGCUUGAGUCAGAUGACAGUCCUUGUAUACCCUGGACAGGGGAAAACAUGUUUUAUGAUGGCAGGAAUACUUCAUACUAGGGAACAUCUUGUUAUCGAAUGUCACAAAUGCUUCAUCUCCUGGGGUCUGUGUAACCUAGCAUCCACUUUGUGUAAAAUAAAGCAAUCAAUCAGGUUGCUAGCUUAAAUCUGAUCUCCCAGUUCUACUUACUUUGUCCAUAUAAAGCUAUAGGCCAGAAUGUCAUGCUAAAUAUUUAUAAUUCAGCAGGAUGAAUCCAAAUAAAUAUGAUAUUAGCAAAAAGAGCUAGGGUUACCUUUAUGGUGCCCCCCCAGUGCUAAUCUUCCUGCGAAAUCAGGUAAAAGUGUCCACCAGAAUAAAUUGAGGAAGUGAGAAGGGACAUUCAAUUUUCAGCUAGGAAGCUACAGUUUUCUUGGCUGGGCAUAGAUGUAUUUCCCCAGAACCUUUGGGGAGUAAGGUACCUUCCAUAAUCCUCACCUGCUAAAGCAGUGGUUCUCAACCUGGGGUCUCCAGAUGUUUUUGACCUACAACUCCCAGAAAUCCCAGCCAGUUUGCCUGAUGUUAGGAUUUCUGGGAAUCGAGGGCCAAAAACAUCUGGACACCCCAAGUUGAGAACCACUGUGUUAGAGAGAAAGGAGCAAUUCAUCCAUUCACUUUAAUGAGUAGACAAAGUAAGCUGUGCAAAAGUAGCACCAGAAAUUCCCAGGAGAGAAACUUACUAACCAAAGAUCCUUAGGACACCAGGGCCCUUGAUAAGGGAAGAGGGUUAGGCAGCUCCUCCUUUCACCCGCACAAAAUAAUGGUGCAUUUGCCCCAAUCAUAGAAUCAUAGAAUAGUAGAGCUGGAAGAGACCUCAUGGGCCAUCCAGUCCAACUCCCUGU
RNAcentral lists this long non-coding RNA (3627 nucleotides) under Anolis carolinensis (green anole). RNAcentral describes it as "lncRNA (ENSACAG00000037320.1)". Lineage: Eukaryota; Metazoa; Chordata; Lepidosauria; Squamata; Anolidae. The record is from RNAcentral.